Molecule: ribosomal RNA, 253 nt
Filed under: uncultured bacterium
Lineage: Bacteria
Description: partial 16S ribosomal RNA
Rfam family: Bacterial small subunit ribosomal RNA
Source: RNAcentral
UACGGAGGAUGCAAGCGUUAUCCGGAAUCAUUGGGCGUAAAGCGUCCUGAGGUGGCCUGCCAAGUCUCCUGUAAAAGACCAGGGCUUAACCCUGGGAAUGCGGUGGAAACUAGCAGGCUAGAGUAUGGUAGGGGCAGGGGGAAUUCCCGGUGUAGCGGUGAAAUGCAUAGAUAUCGGGAAGAACACCAAUGGCGAAAGCACUCUGCUGGGCCAAUACUGACACUGAAAGACGAAAGCUAGGGGAGCAAAAGGG